UACGUAGGGUGCAAGGCGUUGUCCGGAAUUAUUGGGCGUAAAGAGCUCGUAGGCGGUUUGUCGUCGUCUGCUGUGAAAACCCGAGGCUCAACCUCGGGCCUGCAGUGGGUACGGGCAGACUAGAGUGCGGUAGGGGAGGAUUGGAAUUCCGUGGUGUAGCGGUGGAAUGCGCAGAUAUCAGGAGGAACACCGGUGGCGAAGGCGGGUCUCUGGGUAGUAACUGACGCUGAGGAGCGAAAAGCGUGGGGAGCGAACAGG
Molecule: ribosomal RNA, 258 nt
Filed under: uncultured bacterium
Lineage: Bacteria
Description: partial 16S ribosomal RNA
Rfam family: Bacterial small subunit ribosomal RNA
Source: RNAcentral